AUUGAACGCUGGCGGCAUGCCUUACACAUGCAAGUCGAACGGUAACGCGGGGCAACCUGGCGACGAGUGGCGAACGGGCGAGUAAUGCAUCGGAACGUGCCCAGUAGUGGGGGAUAGCCCGGCGAAAGCCGGAUUAAUACCGCAUACGACCUACGGGUGAAAGGGGGGGAUCGCAAGACCUCUCGCUAUUGGAGCGGCCGAUGUCAGAUUAGGUAGUUGGUGGGGUAAAAGCCUACCAAGCCAUCGAUCUGUAGCUGGUCUGAGAGGACGACCAGCCACACUGGGACUGAGACACGGCCCAGACUCCUACGGGAGGCAGCAGUGGGGAAUUUUGGACAAUGGGCGCAAGCCUGAUCCAGCCAUGCCGCGUGCGGGAAGAAGGCCUUCGGGUUGUAAACCGCUUUUGUCAGGGAAGAAAAGCUCCGGGCUAAUACCCCGGGGUCAUGACGGUACCUGAAGAAUAAGCACCGGCUAACUACGUGCCAGCCGCCGCGGUAA
RNAcentral lists this ribosomal RNA (498 nucleotides) under uncultured bacterium. Its description in RNAcentral is "partial 16S ribosomal RNA". It matches the Rfam family "Bacterial small subunit ribosomal RNA", at positions 29 to 523 of the family's 1533-position model. The record is from RNAcentral.